Long non-coding RNA from Cyprinus carpio carpio, 894 nucleotides. The record is from Ensembl. Lineage: Eukaryota; Metazoa; Chordata; Actinopteri; Cypriniformes; Cyprinidae.
ACACAUACAACUCUGCAUGCAACGCAAUUAUCAUGGAAUAAUGUCAAACAUUACAAUUCACCACUGCGCAGAUGACAAAAGUAGUUUUUAUGAAGUGAAGAUAUGAAUUAUUUUAAGUUCAGGUUGCGUCACAAUUCUCUCUCUAUGCAUCCUCUGCUGUCUUUACUGGUACGCCAACUAACGACCCGACAACCGCGAAAACAAACAGCAGUAAGAUGGCCGACUCCCGCGCGCGGCAGGAAUAUCUGACAUUCGUUUGUUCCAUCGCCGUCGCUCCGAGCGACAGAGGCCAAUUACUGCAGCAGCCGCGUGACCUUUAGCAUGCAGAUGAGCCACACAGCGCACGUGCUAUGUGUGUGUGGCCGGUAAAUAUUAACGGGAACGGAAGAGCGGAGCCAUAAUGACGCGCGGAUCGUUAGAGGCUCGUUAGGGACCACGAGACGGAGGAUAUUAAAGAGCACCACUGAGCUUGCUGCUCAACAUUCAAAUACUGGGCCAGUGCUUGCUGUAAAAGAAACCCUCCACCAUCCCCAGCUCCACCUGUACAGAUCUGCUACGGAGUGAUUCAUUCUUGCAAUCUGGCCACCUGGUUUAACGAAGAACAUCUCAUGAAUUAUUCCACCGGACUACACUUGGAAUCUCCCGCCUUGCUCUCCAAAUCCUUGCUCGCAUCUUGCGUCUCUUUUAAAACUUUAUUUCCUCCACUUUUCUUCACCUCUAAUCCCCAUUAGCCUCAUUUUCAGCAAUGGACCGAAUACCUCUACCAGUGUUUUUGUUAAAAAUGACUAAAAGUUUCCUGUUUACCAUUUUGGGUGUGCCGUCUGAGAUCUUCCAUCGCUGGCACAUACACAAAAGCCGAACGAACGGCUCACAACAGUCUAUAAAAGUGUUAAC